This 759-nucleotide ribosomal RNA is filed under the name uncultured archaeon. RNAcentral's name for it is "bacterial SSU rRNA". It matches the Rfam family "Archaeal small subunit ribosomal RNA", at positions 102 to 859 of the family's 1478-position model. The record is from RNAcentral.
GGAUAACCUGCCCUUGGGUCCGGCAUAACCCCGGGAAACUGGGGAUAAUUCCGGAUAACGCAUAUAUGCUGGAAUGCUUUCUGCGUAAAAUGGAUUCGUCUGCCCAAGGAUGGGUCUGCGGCCUAUCAGGUAGUAGUGGGCGUAAUGUACCUACUAGCCGACGACGGGUACGGGUUGUGAGAGCAAGAGCCCGGAGAUGGAUUCUGAGACAUGAAUCCAGGCCCUACGGGGCGCAGCAGGCGCGAAAACUUUACAAUGCGGGAAACCGUGAUAAGGGGACACCGAGUGCCAGCAUCAUAUGCUGGCUGUCCGGGUGUGUAAAAUACACCCGUUAGCAAGGGCCGGGCAAGACCGGUGCCAGCCGCCGCGGUAACACCGGCGGCCCGAGUGGUGAUCGUGAUUAUUGGGUCUAAAGGGUCCGUAGCCGGUUUGGUCAGUCCUCCGGGAAAUCUGAUAGCUCAACUAUUAGGCUUUCGGGGGAUACUGCCAGGCUCGGAACCGGGAGAGGUAAGAGGUACUACAGGGGUAGGAGUGAAAUCUUGUAAUCCCUGUGGGACCACCUGUGGCGAAGGCGUCUUACCAGAACGGGUUCGACGGUGAGGGACGAAAGCUGGGGGCACGAACCGGAUUAGAUACCCGGGUAGUCCCAGCCGUAAACGAUGCUCGCUAGGUGUCAGGCAUGGCGCGACCGUGUCUGGUGCCGCAGGGAAGCCGUGAAGCGAGCCACCUGGGAAGUACGGCCGCAAGGCUGAAACUUAA